Molecule: ribosomal RNA, 253 nt
Filed under: uncultured bacterium
Lineage: Bacteria
Description: partial 16S ribosomal RNA
Rfam family: Bacterial small subunit ribosomal RNA
Source: RNAcentral
UACAGAGGUCUCAAGCGUUGUUCGGAUUCAUUGGGCGUAAAGGGUGCGUAGGCGGCGCGGUAAGUCGGGUGUGAAAUCUCGGAGCUUAACUCCGAAACUGCAUUCGAUACUGCCGUGCUUGAGGACUGGAGAGGAGACUGGAAUUUACGGUGUAGCGGUGAAAUGCGUAGAUAUCGUAAGGAAGACCAGUGGCGAAGGCGGGUCUCUGGACCAGUACUGACGCUGAGGCACGAAAGCGUGGGGAGCAAACAGG